This is a non-coding RNA of Oryctolagus cuniculus (rabbit), 1757 nucleotides long. NCBI's taxonomy places the organism in Eukaryota, Metazoa, Chordata, Mammalia, Lagomorpha, Leporidae. The record is from RefSeq and is a predicted model, not a curated record.
CCUGGGCAGAACCGCUGUGGACACAGAGUGGCGAGGGGCCUCUAGCGGAGAUGGGGACCGGGAGGCGCCGGCCUCCUGCUCCUUGGCGAGGGACAGUGCGAUUCAUCCGCCAGGGAUGACUGCAGGUGAUGGCCACAGGAAGAGCGUGGCCGGCAUCCUCGCCACUACCGGAAAGGCAAUGAGCGGCAUUAAGAAGCAAUUGUCACCCUGCUUGGCAGGUGAGUUAAACAGUGGAGAGAGAGGGCCGCAGAGGGCUGCCCAAGACCACACCAGGUAGUGGUCUGGAUUUGAACUCAGGGCACGUCUGUAUCUGCUGCUGCGUUAUCCAGCCUCACAGGGGCUUGGGAAGGAGCUAGGGCACUGGGGGUGCCCCGAGGAGCUCCAGGACUCACUAAACCCCUUGGGCAGCAGAUGCACCAGGCCCCAGGCAUCCCUUUUGCCCCAGACCCUUCCUAGGCUUGCUCCUCUGCUGGACCUGUGCCUUUGACGGGGUUGCUCUCCUGCCGGGAACGCCUGACUGCCUGUUCUGCACUAACCCCAACGCACCCCACUUCUCCCCAGGCAGCCCCACCCCAACAGUCUCCCCGCACGCACUGCAUUUACUUCUGAGGGUCUGGGCUCAUUUUCCUGAGUGUCCGUCGUGUGGGUAGUGAGCCGCCUAGCCUCCCCAUACAAGGGCAGGCCUUCUGUUACUGUGAACCCUUGGGCACACAGCAGAUGCUCACUUAAUGUCGAAUGCCACCAAGAUCAAAUCAGACCAAAUCCACCUUCGUUCUGAAGCAGGAGUCGCGCUGGGGCCCCCGCGGGCACAGCCAGCAGAGCCUGGUUGGGUCGUCUCACAGGGAAGCCCCAGAUCAGACUCAAGACCUUGCCCGGGCCCCCCAGCCUCCGAUCCCAUGGGAAGCCAUCAAAGGGCACCCUCUUGCCCUGCACCCACAGCUGAGACCUGUCCACUUUGCUCUCCCACUGAUACCGCAAGUCCCAGAUGGUCAUACUCAGCUCCCCAGCCCGCCUCCUGGCACCCUCCUCGCCAUCCGCUGUUGCUGUGGGCUCUGGGAAUGAGACAAACACUUAAUAUCAGCCUGAGCCAAAAGUAAUUAGGGACAUCAAUCUGCUGCCCCAGUCCACGCCCACCCCUAUAUGCUGUGAAGGCAGAAAGAAAAUGUUCCUGAACCUUCGGGAGUGGCCUGGCCCUGGCCAGAGGCCAGGUCUGCAAGAGCAGGGCCCCUCCCUGGCCUGGGCCACGGGAGAGGCUUCGAGAUGAGUGUGUGUAUACGGCACAGUCGCCCCACAGCACAGCACACCCUGGUUUACGUUCCUUGCAAAGCAGAGCGUGAGCAGAGAGUUGGAGGUCGGCGACUUAAGGCACUCCCAGGAGUGGAAGUGAGACCCAGACGGAGGAAAAGCCAGUAGAAUAGUGUGUUCUCAAAGUCUCGGCUGGAAGCACCUAGGGAGGGGAGGGCUCCAUCCCCUAGCCCUCUGAGCCCUGAGACCUCCGCUGAGCUGCAGGUGCAAUCGGAGGGGUGGGGCUGCAGGAUGGGUUUCAAAUCCUGGAGCACUUGCAGCGUAGCCACGGGCUCCCCUGGGCGCGCCAGCGCCCUCUCCCCAGCCCCUGUGCCUUUUGCCCUUGGUCUCAGCAGGGGGAACCCCCACCCAUCUUUGAGACCCCACUCACAUGCCAUUAUCCCUACAUGGCUCUCCUUACACCACCUCCUUGGUGGCCUGAGUCACAUGUGUUAUUAAAUAGCAUAAUGAAA